This 857-nucleotide ribosomal RNA is filed under the name uncultured Chloroflexota bacterium. RNAcentral's name for it is "bacterial SSU rRNA". It matches the Rfam family "Bacterial small subunit ribosomal RNA", at positions 1 to 866 of the family's 1533-position model. Lineage: Bacteria; Bacillati; Chloroflexota. The record is from RNAcentral.
GAUUACCCUCAUAAAGGACUGUCUGCAGGUUAACGAUUCGCCUUAGAGUUGAUCAGGUUCGGAUGAUGCAGCUGGGUCCUAUGCUCCAAGUCGAUGAGUCCUUCCUUCGGUGAGUCCUGUGGGAACGCUGAGUAACACGUUGUGACUGCCUGAAGAGGGGACAACCCGGGAACUGGGCUAAUACCUCAUGUGAUCCAGAGAGUAGAGGUCUUGGAUGAAUGGAGCAAUCCGCUUCGGAGGGCCUGCGGCUAUCAGCUAGUUGUAGGGUAACGGCCUACCAUGGCGACGACGGUAGGGGCUUGAGAGGGUGAUCCCCCACACUGGAACUGAAACACGGACCAGACACCUACGGGUGGCAGCAGUAGGGAAUUUGCCCAAUGGACGAAAGUCUGAGGCAGCAACGCCGCGUGCGCGAUGAAGGCCUUCGGGUCGUAAAGCGCUUUUCUGGGGGACGAGAUAGGACGGUACCCCAGGAAUAAGUCUCGGCUAACUACGUGCCAGCAGCCGCGGUAAAACGUAGGAGGCAAGCGUUAUCCGGAUUUACUGGGCGUAAAGCGCGUGCAGGCGGUCUGGUAAGUCGGACGUGAAAUCUCCUGGCUCAACUAGGAGAGGCCGUUCGAUACUGCCGGACUGGAGGGCAGCAGAGGGAGGUGGAAUUCCGGGUGUAGCGGUGAAAUGCGUAGAUAUCCGGAGGAACACCAGUGGCGAAAGCGGCCUCCUGGACUGUCCCUGACGCUAAGACGCGAAAGCUAGGGGAGUGAACGGGGUUAGAAACCCCGGUAAUCCUAGCUGUAAACGAUGCAGACUUGGUGUUGGUGGUCUAAACCCCAUCAGUGCCGUAGCAAACGCGAUAAGUC